Molecule: ribosomal RNA, 708 nt
Filed under: Escherichia coli
Lineage: Bacteria; Pseudomonadati; Pseudomonadota; Gammaproteobacteria; Enterobacterales; Enterobacteriaceae
Description: partial 23S ribosomal RNA
Rfam family: Bacterial large subunit ribosomal RNA
Source: RNAcentral
GGUUAAGCGACUAAGCGUACACGGUGGAUGCCCUGGCAGUCAGAGGCGAUGAAGGACGUGCUAAUCUGCGAUAAGCGUCGGUGAGGUGAUAUGAACCGUUAUAACCGGCGAUUUCCGAAUGGGGAAACCCAGUGUGUUUCGACACACUAUCAUUAACUGAAUCCAUAGGUUAAUGAGGCGAACCGGGGGAACUGAAACAUCUAAGUACCCCGAGGAAAAGAAAUCAACCGAGAUUCCCCCAGUAGCGGCGAGCGAACGGGGAGGAGCCCAGAGCCUGAAUCAGUGUGUGUGUUAGUGGAAGCGUCUGGAAAGGCGCGCGAUACAGGGUGACAGCCCCGUACACAAAAAUGCACAUAUUGUGAGCUCGAUGAGUAGGGCGGGACACGUGGUAUCCUGUCUGAAUAUGGGGGGACCAUCCUCCAAGGCUAAAUACUCCUGACUGACCGAUAGUGAACCAGUACCGUGAGGGAAAGGCGAAAAGAACCCCGGCGAGGGGAGUGAAAAAGAACCUGAAACCGUGUACGUACAAGCAGUGGGAGCCUCUUAAUGGGGUGACUGCGUACCUUUUGUAUAAUGGGUCAGCGACUUAUAUUCUGUAGCAAGGUUAACCGAAUAGGGGAGCCGAAGGGAAACCGAGUCUUAACUGGGCGUUAAGUUGCAGGGUAUAGACCCGAAACCCGGUGAUCUAGCCAUGGGCAGGUUGAAGGU